GUGUAACAUUAUACCCACACCCAUAGCCCUGCCAACAUGGAGGAGAAAGUCUGCAAGAUGUGAAUGUUGGGUUAUUCUCCCUGUGUAUACAUAUAAUACGACCCAACAACAUUGGACACCAUACUUUUCCGACAGGAGGACAAAGGCUGGUAUUGUUCACUCUUUGGCAUGCUCAGACUUUCCCUCGCAAACGGGAGACACAGUGGAUGCUCAUCGGCGCACCCUGCUCAAAGAGCGCAGUGGAAAAAGAUGGAGAGAUGCGGUCGGCUGAAGGGAUGGUCGCUCACACUCUCUAAACCGUAGCCCACAUAUAACAGUGUAUAUUAUCAUUCGUUCAUACUCAUGGAGAUCUUGAGCAAAUGUGAGAAUUUUGGAUGGUUUUAAAGGGACAAGGGUUCCUUAUUGUAAUUUGGACUAAGGUGAAUUUUUUAAAAGCUAAGAUACUAAUUCAUUGAAAUAUUAAAAAAGUUAAACGUUAUCCUCAACAGAGUAUCCUCCAAAGAUAUGUGCCUCUACAGAGAGUCUUGUGUGCUGGAAGGAGGUCAUGAAUUCCUGUCUGAUAAACCUCUGAAUAGCGAUGUGAUGGCACUUUUGGAAUGUAGAGGCUUCAGCAAACAUGAAACAUUCCCGCUAUGAUUUACUAUCUACUGCUGGUGCUUGUUUAAAGGAUUUUCUUCUAAAUUGAUUUUCUGUGUGCUCGGGAAACGCUGAAGGAGCCGAAAAUCAUAAUUAGUUUAUAAGAGAGUAAGGAAAUGUGGUGAAGACACUUUAAGCGAGUCCUUUCCUGCUGAAGGCUAAUAACAGCUUUCUGGUUCCUGCCUUCAGGCGCUGUGGAUUAUUCAUCAGUGGAAUUUCUGUUUGGUGGAAACAUACAGAGAGAGAAGGGGGAGAUGAUGGGCGUUCUUUUCCCUACUAGCUGGUUAUCUUCUUCUGCCAGCUACUUGCUCGGAGACUUCCACCUGGUGACUCGGAGCUCAACAGGCAUUCCAGCGCCGGCCAGCACAAAGAGCUCUUUUCAACAUGCCUAAUCCCAGCAGAGGAGUGCAGAAGGGGCCCGGCUCUCCUCCACUGAGGACCACAGGACCCGCACUACGAAUUAAUAGAUACAGCAGGUCAUGCCUGAUACACAUUUAACCUGUGUAUGUAUAAUGCUUAACUAAGUUAACUAAACAAACAGGCCAAACAUAGUUUAUAAUUGUUAAAGUUGUUUGUCAAACCCAUUUUUGUCAAUUAAGUAUAAAUAACAAACGCUGUGUUAUUAAUACGCAGAUCGAUGAGAACGGGUACUGGUUUGUCUUUUGGUUCAAUGGAGAGUUUUGGAAACCAGACUGGUUUCUGCUGGUAAAUGCUAGUCUGUUGCUGGUCUAGCUGGUGGACUAGAACAAUCAAGACAAAACUGAUCAGCAUGGGUUGCAAAGUAAACCAUAUUCUACUUAAGCGGAAGAGCAGUUUAAUUCAGGAGCACUGUUUAUUACCAAUGCAUAAAAAACUAGGUUGUCACUGUUAUCCCAGAAUUGCUUGGUUUCCCACAAGUUAAUGUGGAACAUGAUGUUGUUGACAGAUUAAUUGAGGUUUCAUAAAAAAAUUAAAUAUGUCAGAAAUAUGAUAUUAAUAUAUUAGAUUUGUUUUUAUCUAUAUUAAUAUUGCUUUACCUCUAGAUGUAGAUUUUGUCUUAUGCCAUGAAGGCAGCACCACAUGCACACUGUCAUUGUUUGAGAAAAUGUCUACACACAUGCUUGUAUCUUCUGAACAGAAGACUUCAAUGUCUGAUGCAACCAAAUAAAAAACGCUUCUGCUUG
Long non-coding RNA from Triplophysa dalaica, 1799 nucleotides. RefSeq lists it as uncharacterized. Lineage: Eukaryota; Metazoa; Chordata; Actinopteri; Cypriniformes; Nemacheilidae. The record is from RefSeq and is a predicted model, not a curated record. The transcript has 3 exons.